UACGUAGGGUGCAAGCGUUAUUCGGAAUUACUGGGCGUAAAGCGUGCGCAGGCGGCUUUGCAAGACAGAUGUGAAAUCCCCGGGCUCAACCUGGGAACUGCAUUUGUGACUGCAUGGCUAGAGUACGGUAGAGGGGGAUGGAAUUCCGCGUGUAGCAGUGAAAUGCGUAGAUAUGCGGAGGAACACCGAUGGCGAAGGCAAUCCCCUGGACCUGUACUGACGCUCAUGCACGAAAGCGUGGGGAGCAAACAGG
RNAcentral lists this ribosomal RNA (253 nucleotides) under uncultured bacterium. RNAcentral's name for it is "partial 16S ribosomal RNA". It matches the Rfam family "Bacterial small subunit ribosomal RNA", at positions 524 to 776 of the family's 1533-position model. The record is from RNAcentral.